GCCAAGAUUAAUCAAUAUGGUUCAUCAACAAAAAUUAUAAGAACAUUCAAUAGGACCGAGUUGAUCAGUCUAGUAGGCAACCCGGGCACCAAGGCGGAUCACGACUCUUUGCAGGGUCAAUUCGAAUUCGUAGAUCAGGUCGACAAGACCCGAUACUGGAUUCCAUAGAUAUUCUAGAGAGAGAAAGUAGAGAGUAGAAAGAGGAGAGAGAAAAUAGAGAAGAGGGAAGAAUCCUUCUUCUUGUGUCUCUUCUUCCUUCCCCCUCGCCGGUAAUAGGUGGCAGCAACGGCGACCCAACUGCCCACCUGACGGCAGUCUCGGACGGCCGCAACUUCGGCCAAACCCAGCAGUCAAUGGUGGCUAAUCAUUGCGGAAGAAGACCAAAAUAGAGGUGCUCUGUUUCGGAUGAAGCUCCGGCGAUUGCCGGCUCAAAUCAAAGGGAACGAAUGCCCAAAACACUAAAGAAGAAAGAGGAGGAGAUGAAGAACUCAUAUCUCGGUCCGACUUGGCUUUCCAACGACUCCUCUCAGCGGAAGUUGAAGGAAGAAUCUCGAGAAGGAAGCUUGAAAUCUGGAGAAGGGCUCAAGCAGAUAUCGGACCACAUGUCUGGCUGCCAAGGCCUCUCUUCCCACAAGUAAAGAGCAAAUGCCUAAGCUCUUACUGCUGCAAGGGUCACAGUGCACCUCCCAAGCCACCAAGUAAACACCUCCCCUUCCGUCUUGCAUUUUUCGAAGAAAUUUUCCAAACAUCCGGACAACAACUUAAGCAGAUUGGUAUUGGACAAGAGAUAGACC
RNAcentral lists this long non-coding RNA (794 nucleotides) under Phoenix dactylifera (date palm). RNAcentral describes it as "long non-coding RNA (PDAC_LNC000703)". Lineage: Eukaryota; Viridiplantae; Streptophyta; Magnoliopsida; Arecales; Arecaceae. The record is from RNAcentral.